GGCCGUCCGGCGUACGCUUAACAACCAACUUAGAACUGGUACGGACAAGGGGAAUCUGACUGUCUAAUUAAAACAUAGCAUUGCGAUGGCCAGAAAGUGGUGUUGACGCAAUGUGAUUUCUGCCCAGUGCUGUGAAUGUCAAUAUGAAGAAAUUCAAGAAAGCCCCAGUAAACGGCGGGAGUAACUAUGACUCUCUUAAGGU
RNAcentral lists this ribosomal RNA (202 nucleotides) under Aurantiochytrium limacinum. RNAcentral describes it as "partial Eukaryotic large subunit ribosomal RNA". It matches the Rfam family "Eukaryotic large subunit ribosomal RNA", at positions 2079 to 2280 of the family's 3401-position model. The record is from RNAcentral. Lineage: Eukaryota; Bigyra; Thraustochytrida; Thraustochytriidae.